This 255-nucleotide ribosomal RNA is filed under the name uncultured Pseudomonas sp. Its description in RNAcentral is "partial 16S ribosomal RNA". It matches the Rfam family "Bacterial small subunit ribosomal RNA", at positions 96 to 354 of the family's 1533-position model. The record is from RNAcentral. Lineage: Bacteria; Pseudomonadati; Pseudomonadota; Gammaproteobacteria; Pseudomonadales; Pseudomonadaceae.
CGGCGACGGGUGAGUAAUGCCUAGGAAUCUGCCUGGUAUGGGGGACAACGUUUCGAAAGGAACGCUAAUACCGCAUACGUUCUACGGGAGAAAGCAGGGGACCUUCGGGCCUUGCGAUAUCAGAUGAGCCUAGGUCGGAUUAGCUAGUUGGUGAGGUAAUGGCUCACCAAGGCGACGAUCCGUAACUGGUCUGAGAGGAUGAUCAGUCACACUGGAACUGAGACACGGUCCAGACUCCUACGGGAGGCAGCAGGG